RNAcentral lists this ribosomal RNA (414 nucleotides) under Anthocoptes punctidorsa. Its description in RNAcentral is "partial 16S ribosomal RNA". The stretch from base 177 to 414 matches the Rfam family "Bacterial large subunit ribosomal RNA", at positions 2075 to 2597 of the family's 2925-position model. Lineage: Eukaryota; Metazoa; Arthropoda; Arachnida; Trombidiformes; Eriophyidae. The record is from RNAcentral.
CGCUCUUUUAAAAAAGAGUAACUUCUGCUAAUUGAUAUUUAAAAAGCCGUUUUGACGCUAAGGUAGCGUAAUCAAAAGUUCUUUGAUUGGGAACCUGCAUGAAAGAAUGAACUUAGAAGGAACUAUUUUUAGGAAAAAAUCAAAAAUUAAAGGAAGACAAAAAAAUAUCCUAUCUCGCAAGACGAGAAGACCCUACAACCUCCCCCUAUAGGGUUUUUUGGGGAAAAUAUUUAAAUUAAUCCUGAAAUAAAAAAGAUUAAAAACAAAUUCAAAAAUAAGGUACUUUAGGGAUAACAGAGCAAUUAAAAAUUAAAGCCCGAAUUUAGUUUUUAGUUUGCGACCUCGAUGUUGGAUUUUCUACUCUAUAAGCUGCAGCAAGCUUAAAAGAUUAAACUGUUCGUUUAGUAAAUUGAA